Molecule: ribosomal RNA, 253 nt
Filed under: uncultured bacterium
Lineage: Bacteria
Description: partial 16S ribosomal RNA
Rfam family: Bacterial small subunit ribosomal RNA
Source: RNAcentral
UACAGAGGGUGCAAGCGUUGUUCGGAAUUAUUGGGCGUAAAGGGCGCGUAGGCGGUGCCACAAGUCACCUGUGAAAUCUCCGGGCUUAACUCGGAGCCUGCAGGCGAAACUGUGGUGCUGGAGUGUGGGAGAGGUGCGUGGAAUUCCCGGUGUAGCGGUGAAAUGCGCAGAUAUCGGGAAGAACACCCGUGGCGAAGGCGGCUCUCUGGGACGGUACUGACGCUGAGACGCGAAAGCGUGGGGAGCGAACAGG